CGCCUGCCCUGUGACAAAGGUUCAACGGCCGCGGUAUUUUGACCGUGCAAAGGUAGCGCAAUCACUUGUCCUUUAAAUGAAGACCUGUAUGAAUGGCAUCACGAGGGCUUAACUGUCUCCUUUUUCCAGUCAAUGAAAUUGAUCCCCCCGUGCAGAAGCGAGGAUAAAACCAUAAGACGAGAAGACCCUAUGAAGCUUUAGACACAAGACAGACCUUGUUAAACACUUCAAAAUAAAGAAAUAAACUAAAAGAAUGCUGUUCCGAUGUCUUUGGUUGGGGCGACCACGGGGAAACAAAAAACCCCCAUGCGGAUUGAGAAAACAAUUCUCACAACCAAGAGCCGCAGCUCUAGUUAACAGAACUUCUGACCUUUAGAUCCGGCAAUGCCGAUCCACGGACCGAGUUACUCUAGGGAUAACAGCGCAAUCCCCUUUUAGAGCUCCUAUCGACAAGGGGGUUUACGACCUCGAUGUUGGAUCAGGACAUCCUAAUGGUGCAGCAGUUAUUAAGGGUU
Molecule: ribosomal RNA, 515 nt
Filed under: Betta rutilans
Lineage: Eukaryota; Metazoa; Chordata; Actinopteri; Anabantiformes; Osphronemidae
Description: partial 16S ribosomal RNA
Rfam family: Bacterial large subunit ribosomal RNA
Source: RNAcentral